GGUCGGGUGGCGCAAUGGUAGCGUGUGUAAGUUCAGACCGAGUAUCCGCAAUGUGAUCUAGCCAAUUCUAAUAUCGUUUGUAGAGGACUCCUAUUCAAAGCGAGUCACUUUCAAUCCUGAGGUUGUGGGUUCGAGUCCCACCUCGAUCG
Molecule: non-coding RNA, 149 nt
Organism: Gnomoniopsis sp. IMI 355080
Lineage: Eukaryota; Fungi; Ascomycota; Sordariomycetes; Diaporthales; Gnomoniaceae
Source: the annotation of a GenBank genome assembly